UCUCGGGAGGCCUCCUCUGGCCGCAAGGUAAAAGUCACAGCCCCGGCGGGGGGGGGGGGGGGGGGGGGGGUUGCUGCCCCUUCAACGCUUUGAUUUUUGCCCCAGGGCUUGUCACUGACAUACAAUGUACUUUAUUUAUCUUGAUUUUCAUCUCUUCCCUAAAAGGUGAAUUCCAUAAGGGAGGGAGGAUGAGUCAGAGCCCAAGCAGGAAACAAAAGGGAAACUUGAACUGGGUUCUUUGAGGAGAGUUUAGUAAAAGGGCCAUUUCCCAAGACUGGCAAGGAGGUAGGGAAGCCUGGGGUGAGGCAGCACCUGAGGGCAGUGACCCAGCCCGGGGGACAGGGAUGUGAGAGAGGACAACAGCCACUGACCCUCCGCUUAGGGCGGCUCGGUCAAGCACCCCCCCCACCCCGCGGUUGCCCCACAUCACCCACCCCAAGCGGAGCCUGGAGCUGGGGCCCCGGGCACAGUGCUAAGGUGGGGGGGGGGGGGGAAUCUGCACGGUGACCCACAGGGAAGUCAGGCCUGUCCCCCGUUGGACCUCCAUCCCUACUGGCGCACAGGAGGUGUGAGUGUCCUGGGGCUGCCAGGACAAAGUACUGCAUGGGGGAGGGGGGGCUUAGAACUGUAGAAACACAUUCUCUCACAGUUCUGGCGGCCAGACGUCUGAAAUAAAAAUUUCAGUAGGGCUGCGCUCCCUCGGAAGACUCUAGAAAAGGAACUCCCACAUGUCUCCAGUAGCUCCAGGAGGAUACGGAUGCCCCUUGGCGUCCCUUCACUUGUAAACUCCGUCUUCAUGGGGCCGUCUUCCCGUGUGUCUGCGUCUGUCUGACCUCACAAGGACACCAGUCAUAUUGGAUCAAGGCCCAUCCCCACUGAGGACGACCUCAUCUUAACUUGAUGACAUGGGGAGACCCUAUUUCCAAUCACAGAUGCUCGGUUUAAGACUUCAACACAGCCUUUCGGGGGACACAGUUCAACCUGGAAUACUGAGUAGUCAAUAAUGAAUCAACGAAUGAAUUGUCUCUCCUGAGAAUAAAAAAGAAAAGAGUAGUAAAGUUUGGGGGUAAUUCAAACCAGGUCAUUAAAGGCCCUCCUUCCAUUAUAUAUAUAUAUAUAUAUUUUUUUUUUUCCUUGACAUUAUGUCAGAUUAUGGGCAGCAGUAAAUCUCCAAGAAAAACAAAGGCCAGGAUUUAGUGCCGGAAAGGAAUCCUGAAAAAAAAUUUUUUUUUCAUAAAUAAAUAACACAAGGAACUAGAAGCGGAAAGGGUGGUAUACAGUUGAGGCAUAGGACCGGGGAGAGGUCCAGAGCUCAGAAACGCUGCCUUCGGAUGGGAGUCUGAUGGCGUCACCCCCACACCCCAUCAUGCACAGCGCGGGGACCUGGCUCCUAGUGAGGGCUCUUCUCUAGAGAAAUGAAAUGUUUCCAAAGCAACCAGCAAACCCUUCUGCCACCAAUGGAUCCCCCGCCCGCCCACCCCGAAGCGAAGCCUGACAAGGAUGAGCCCCAACAGAGCUACAAAGCCCUCUCUCAACACGCUGUCUGUCGCCUUUUUCCUAGCUUGAGGGUCAACAGAGAAGGAUUGGACAUUUCCAGGAAACCAGAAAUAUGAAUGAGAAAGAGAACGAGAAACAGGAAAAAGGGAAGGAAAAAGCCAUAUGUACCUAUGGUCCCAGUUCAAUUAAAAAUACACACAGUGUGGGGCGCCUGGGUGGCUCAGUCGAUUGAGCGACCGACUCUUAAUUUCGGCUCAGGUCAUGGUCCCAGGGUCAUGGGAUCAGGCCCUGUGUUGGGUUCCGUGCCGAGCGUGGAGUCUGCUUGGGAUUCUCUCUUUCUCGUCCUCUUCCCCUCACCUUUCUCUCUCUCUCUCUCUCUCUCUUUCUCUAAUAAAUAAAUAAAAAUAAAAAAUGAAAAAAGUACAGUGUGUUUGUAGACACAUCAACACACAUGUGUUAUGUUUGCACAUAUAUAUGUGUUUUUUGGGUUUUUUUUUUUCAACGUUUAUUUAUUUUUGGGACAGAGAGAGACAGAGCAUGAACGGGGGAGGGGCAGAGAGAGAGGGAGACACAGAAUCGGAAACAGGCUCCAGGCUCUGAGCCAUCAGCCCAGAGCCUGACGCGGGGCUCGAACUCACGGACGUGAGAUCGUGACCUGGCUGAAGUCGGACGCUUAACCCACUGCGCCACCCAGGCGCCCGGGUUUUUUUUUUUUUUUUUAAUAUUUAUUUCCCUUUGAGAGAGAGAUGGACAGAGCGUGAGCAGGGGAGGGGCAGAAAGAGAGGGAGACACAGAAUCCGAAGCAGGCUCCGGGCUCCGAGCUGUCAGCAUAGAGCCGGACACGGGACCCGAACCAACCCACCGUGAGAUCGUGACCUAAGCCCAGCGCUCAACCGACUGAGCCACCCAAGUGCCCUGAGAUUCGUGUGUUUUAGAUGCCAGCAAACCAAGUAUCGGUAUUCAGACAGCAAGACCAAGGUUGGGCUGUAAAUGUUAAAAGCCCUGAUUUAUGUCACUGUCCUCGUGAAGCACAGCCUACUUCCCGUGGAGUAGGAUUGUAGAGCUACCAAACUGUUUUUCAAAAAAGCGACUGGAGGUUCCUUUGAAUAUCCAACAAGUACCAGGAACGGUGCCAUCAUUCCAUCCCAUUAAGUGGAGUGCCAGGUGACGGUCACCGAGCAACAGAAUGGAGCCCAGCAUUCAGCCUUGUAUUUCCUACCGCAUUUAAGGCUUUGUUAAAGAAUAUUUUAAGGACAUCUCUUCUGUCACAAAAGAACUCAGUAAGUCUUCCGGAAAGGUGUACCAGUGGGUCCACCAAAUGACCAAAUGAGCUAGUCUGUUCGGUAAACUUGUUUAAACAGUAUUAUCGGGGCGCCUGGGUGGCGCAGUCGGUUGAGCGUCCGACUUCGGCUCAGGUCACGAUCUCGCGGUCCGUGAGUUCGAGCCCCGCAUCGGGCUCUGUGCGGACAGCUCAGAGCCUGGAGCCUGCUUCCGAUUCUGUGUCUCCCUCUCUCUCUGCCCCUCCCCCGUUCAUGCUCUGUCUCUCUCUGUCUCAAAAAUAAAAAUAAACGUUAAAAAAUAAAUAAAUAAAUAAAUAAAUAAAUAAAUAAAUAAAUAAACAGUAUUAUCAAAUCAGAUGCCAGAGUUAGUUCGAUAAGAACGACUGUUUUGAUGUUGGCUGGAUAUUUUGCUGUUUCUCUUAACAAUAGCCAACCAAUGGAUUCAGUUGUCUCCUGAGGCUUGCUGGGGACACAGCGGUAGCUCUACGUUAUCAACCCAGAAGAGCGUCUCCUGUUUAUUUAAUUUCAGAGGCCACGUGGCCACAUAGGCUAGGAAGGAUUCUAAAAUCUUUACAUGUGGGGGCUGUGUAAAACAGAGCCAUCGCCACAUAAUUAAACACGGACUUUUAUGUCAGAAGGCCGAUCCAGCCCACUCCAAUUUUCUCAGUGACGUUAUGAUAAAGGCAAAAGGUGCAUUAAAAGCUUUGGAUCUAUACUAAGGUCAUAAAAUCUCGCCCAGAGACAGUUCCUGUCUAGGGAUUCACACGCCAGAAACAGAUCAAUAGAGGCUGUAAAAAGUUCUACAAUAUUCCCAACCAGCUGCUCUAUAAAGUACAAGUGAACGCUCACUCGUUGAAGACGAAAGCAUUCCCGUAAUGCCAGUAUUAAAUAUACAAUUUACUCGAAUAAAAGAAUUUGUUUUCUGUUUAUUUUCUUGGGAAAAUCGGUUGACCGGUGAGAUAUGAGACUUGCUUUAUUUUCUAGGAUAAAAUUCUGACGGAACUACUAGUCUGCACCAACCACAGAUAGGCCGUCUUCUUUCUCCUCCCCCGGUAGACGCUGGAGAUGUUUCCUCUCGAGUUGUUGGGGUUCGACUUGACAAAAUUCUAGAGGCGGUACAGAGUCUGUGAUCAGAAAAAUGUCUUUAUCACGGCGAAAAUCUGCUCGUGCCGAUGGACCGGAGAGAAGGCAGAAGAAGCAGUUGUGUCUCGGGGUAGCUGUUCUCCCUUGAAAUCCGGUAAAAAUGGCCCCGUGAAUGCAGGGCCUAAAAGUGAGUCCCCAAAGUGAGGGGCCUCUGGGACCCACACGCCAUCCCCCAAACAAGAAGAAUCAUUUUCCUGGCAACGGAAAGAUUAAUCAUGCAUUUCACAAAGGAGACGCAAGGUUCGGUAAUGUGCGACCUUGAUUUACAAUGGCCUCCUGAUUUAUUGUUGUGUAUUUUUAAACCAUGCUAUUUAAAACACAGCUAAUUUAAAAGCUAGUGUGUAGGCCCCGUCUGACUAUUGCUAAAGAUUUACUUUGUGCUAAUAAGAAAAUUAUUGUGUCUACGCUAUUCCCACUUCUCCCGCACUGUGUGAUCCAACCUCCAAUAAAAUUGCUUGUCAGGUGAGAGA
RNAcentral lists this long non-coding RNA (4390 nucleotides) under Lynx pardinus (Iberian lynx). Lineage: Eukaryota; Metazoa; Chordata; Mammalia; Carnivora; Felidae. The record is from RNAcentral.